AUUGAACGCUGGCGGCAGGCCUAACACAUGCAAGUCGAGCGGAGCGGCGGAGGGGUGAGUAAGGGCUAGGAAUCUGCCUGGUAGUGGGGGAGAAGGUCAGGAAACGGACACGAAUACCGCAUACUAUCGGAUGAGGCUGUGUCGGAUUAGCUAGUUGGUGGGGUAAAGGCAUACCAAGGCGACGAUCCGUAACUGGUCUGAGAGGAUGAGCAGUCACACUGGAACUGAGACACGGUCCAGACUCCUACGGGAGGCAGCAGUGGGGAAUAUUGGACAAUGGGCGAAAGCCUGAUCCAGCCAUGCCGCGUGUGUGAAGAAGGUCUUCGGAUUGUAAAGCACUUUAAGCUGGGAGGCGUUACCAACAGAAUAAGCACCGGCUAACUUCGUGCCAGCAGCCGCGGUAAUAC
Molecule: ribosomal RNA, 407 nt
Filed under: uncultured bacterium
Lineage: Bacteria
Description: partial 16S ribosomal RNA
Rfam family: Bacterial small subunit ribosomal RNA
Source: RNAcentral